GGACCCGCACAAGCGGUGGAUGAUGUGGAUUAAUUCGAUGCAACGCGAAAAACCUUACCUACCCUUGACAUGUCCGGAAUCCUGCAGAGAUGCGGGAGUGCCCGAAAGGGAAUCGGAACACAGGUGCUGCAUGGCUGUCGUCAGCUCGUGUCGUGAGAUGUUGGGUUAAGUCCCGCAACGAGCGCAACCCUUAUCAUUAGUUGCUACGCAAGGGCACUCUAAUGAGACUGCCGGUGACAAACCGGAGGAAGGUGGGGAUGACGUCAAGUCCUCAUGGCCCUUAUGGGUAGGGCUUCACACGUCAUACAAUGGUCGGUACAGAGGGUUGCCAAGCCGCGAGGUGGAGCCAAUCCCAGAAAGCCGAUCGUAGUCCGGAUUGUUCUCUGCAACUCGAGAGCAUGAAGUCGGAAUCGCUAGUAAUCGCGGAUCAGCAUGUCGCGGUGAAUACGUUCCCGGGUCUU
RNAcentral lists this ribosomal RNA (461 nucleotides) under uncultured bacterium. RNAcentral's name for it is "bacterial SSU rRNA". It matches the Rfam family "Bacterial small subunit ribosomal RNA", at positions 917 to 1382 of the family's 1533-position model. The record is from RNAcentral.